RNAcentral lists this long non-coding RNA (6712 nucleotides) under Mus musculus (house mouse). Its description in RNAcentral is "RIKEN cDNA E330033B04 gene (E330033B04Rik)". The record is from RNAcentral. Lineage: Eukaryota; Metazoa; Chordata; Mammalia; Rodentia; Muridae.
GGGGGGGGGGGUUCUUUGUGAUGGGUAAGUACAUAAAAAUGUAGUCUAUAGGGUAAAAUCCAAAGCGAAGUUCCACACCUUCAGGAUGACUAUUCUAACAGUAUAAAAGUUCAUUUAUUGAGAUGCAUAAACUUUGGGUCUGAACAAGUGCUUGUUUGAAUGGCUGUGUUAAUGUAGCUAAAUGACGUCUUUUAUUUGCAAGUUCUUUACAAUAAAGUGAUUUAUAAAAGAGAGAGAGAGAUGAAAUAGUCUUAAGUCUUUAAAUAAGAAAAAUAGAGCCAAAUAUGUAUGUAUGAUUGAUUAUUUGUAAGAAAAGAUGUAUGUUGACUUUUUUCUUCCUUAUUAAUAAAUAAAUUUGUCAAAGACACUUUCAGAAAUAAGUUGAUUAUAUUAAAUAUCAACAUGGCCACAGAGCUGCUAAGGCAACUAGCCAGAAUUACAGACCUUUAAAUCAUGUUAUUUUUCACAGGAUAGAACAACAUCAAACUCAAGCAUUUGACAAUAUUCCUUGAUUUGACUUUAGGAAGGGCUAUCUUACAGAAAAUGAGCCUCUCUGCUCUUUCUGUAGCUAUAGGGAAUGGGAAUAUUCACUGUUCUUAUCUUGCUCUUUUUCCUUUUUUUAUCAGUUUGAGUGCAUAAGGAUGGAGUCCUGUUAGUCAGCAUCAGGAGGACAGACAAGGUGCUAUCUUAAGUCUGAGUGGCAGAGGGAUGGUGUUGACAGGAGUGGAAGCGCUUGCAGUGCCUGCCUUUGUGCAGAAGAACUCAGUAAGCAAAAUUUAUCACAGGCUGAGAUGUUUCAGAGAAGGCAGACUUUAGUGAAAUAUAUUUUGAAUCAUCUGUAUUUAGAUUUUGGGGCAAGUUUUGAUCUUCAGAGACCUAAUUUACAGCUGUAUGGAGUUGUGACUUUGGAACGAUUCUGUCUGUACUCCCAGCCCUUAACCCCCACACCUCAAAUAAUUCUUCAAGAACUUACAAGUUCAGUCUUUCAUAUAUUUUCUAAAAAUGUGAAAGUGUUAGAAGUUGUUUUCAGUGCCGUGGGACAUAUGUGUAAGUGUGUUUCUUAAAUUACCAAGUUGGUGUUUCUCAUCUGUUUAUAAGUGUUAAAGGAAGAUUAAGUAGUUACAUAACUUUGGAAAAUAAGUAAACACUUAUUUUCUACAAAACUUAUCAGGGCAUUUAACAUUCUCUCACUGUAACUUUUAAAUAUGCUUGUCCUUAUAGGACACUCACUCCUGGGGGAAGCUGGCCACUGGACAUUAGUAAAAAUUAAACACACCAGGCAGUGGUGGCGCACGCCUUUAAUCCCAGCACUCGGGAGGCAGAGGCAGGAGGAUUUCUGAGUUCGAGGCCAGCCUGGUCUACAGAAUGAGUUCCAGGACAGCCAGGGCUACACAGAGAAACCCUGUCUCGAAAAACCAAAACCAAACAAACAAAAAAUUAAACACAUCAAAAACUAGAAAGGCCUCUUCUCACCCGUUAUGAUCACUGCAUAUAGCCAAUGUGAUGCUAUGUACAUACUCAUAACCUUACAUAGGUUAGUAAAAACCUAAUAACCCUUGGAUUAAUUCUCAGAUCUAAUAAGCUUCUGCUUGCUGAAAUUAACUAUUAUGGAAAACCAUGCAUUUUAUACUUAAUAAAGUUUUUAUUUAUAAUUAUAUGUGUAUAGUAUUUUGCCUGCACUAUGCCUGCACUUUCUGUUCCUAAUACCCAAGGAAGCCAGAAGACAGUUAAGUUAAUGUAAAUGACAGAUGGCCCAGUGGUUAAGAACACUGGCAGCUCUUCUAGAGGUCUUGGGCUCAGUUUCCAGGACACACAUAGUGACUUACAGCCAUCUCUUAACUCCGAUUCCAGGGACAUGAAUUGUACUACUUUUUGGAUGACCCUUAAUGGAAAGUAUGAAAAUGUUGUCAAAAUAUCCCUUUUUUUUUUUUUUUUUUUUGCUAAAUUUUAUGAGGCAUCCCCAUGUAAAAGAAGUUCAAACAAAGUCUGAUGGAUUUAACGUUGUCCUAAUAGAAAUUAUAAUGUCCCUGCUUGAAGGCAUUUUAAGAUAGAAGAUAUUCACAGCAAGUGAAUCAGCCUUAUAAGCAACCAGAUGUUUUCUUACUAUAUGAAAGGGCUUGACAUGGUAGUAGGGUAAAGAGAAGCCAGAAACUCUAUUAGACCUGGUCUGAUACUUGCCCCCUUUCCCUAUGGGUGACAGUCUUGCCAUUUCCUGUUGCUGUCCAAAGGAUAGCUGCACACACGUGUGGUCCCGAGACCUUUUCUGCAGUCUGCUAUGCGCGUUUCACACACACGAGUACGUGAAAAGAAUGGCAUUGUCACAGAUCGUUUCUGAUAGAUGCAGGUUUGACACUUUAAGCAUAUGCCUGCCUUUUUUAAAUUAUUACUUAUGCGCAACUGCUGAAAAUUGGUGUCAUGCCAUAGGUUGAAAGUAGGAGGUGAUUCGUCACACAGAAUGUCUAGAAGCCAGCAGUGGAACGGGCCACUGGAAAUGGGGUUCUGUUUCUGGAGUAAGGAGAAAGGGGGGGGGAGAUAGGAAAAAAUGCAGUUCAGAAGACUUGACUGAACACCAAGAUUCAUGCCACAGGUCCGUUCUAAUAAUACUCGCAGGCGCCCUUCCACAGCUGGCGUGCUCGGCCUCCACCUUCCCCCACUCCUCUCUCUCACAGUGCUCACGCGCACACGCGCACACACACACACCUAAUCCUUUAAGUUGCUUUGAAACUAAGAUCAAGAGAGGUUAAUAUGGUUGUCUUGACAACAGCAGGUCAGACCUGGAAAGCGAGUUGGCCCUGUGCCAGGGUCUUGUGUUCUCUUGUCUCAUGUCACAGCAGAGACACACUAAUGUAUGGCACAUGAACUACAUGGAUACACUUCUCUAAUAGAAAGUUGAACAUAAAUAUUUCAAGGUCUCCUCCGGCCCCUCCCAUCAGUGGUCGAAUGCACCGAUUCGUUGUUGUAUGUUCCCUUGGCCACUGUUUCUUUGCUUGUGUAAUUUUUUAGUGUGUGUGCACAUGCCCAUACCAUCAUUGUGUGAGUACAUGUAGGUGCAUGCUAUGUGGAUAAUUUUUUUGACUAGUUUUUUUUUCAUAUACCUGGUUUGUGUAAACACGAGUAGACUACUUUUUACAGACGUGCACCUUACACUUGGCAAGUGGGACAGGCCCGCUGCUCACCCUCCCCUCUCUGCUUCAUUUGAUUCUCUUCCAUUCCUGUAUUCACUGACCACUGCAGGCUACCUUCAAGACGUUUCUAUUCCAAAAUUAAAAGUGUACAAAAAUAAUACCAAGCUAUUUAAAAUGUGUGAAGGAGUCGCUCUGUGAUAGAAUGCAUUGGCUGAAAGAGCUGAACUGCAUGGGGAAGGAUUUUCAGGGCAUUUUACAAACCUCUUCAGUGUCGUUUGUUAACUUGCAUCUUUGUUCAUGUUAGAGGUGUUUGGGUUUCCUCCGGUUGACCUUAACUGGACUAGGAAGACACUAAGGUCUCAGGUAUCUCUAAACUUAAAUCAGGUUAAGGCUUCACUUGAAGUUAGAUGUCAGACGGUUAUCUGUUUUCCCUGUGGACUGAAAGCCAGGUCUGAGGGUAUCAUGUGCACGCAGAAAUAAACCAGAGCUCUCAGUCAUCCGUGACUGUUUACGCGUAGGAAAGAACAUGUAUUCGUUUUGCAGUUGGCAUGGAUACAACCAGUAAUGAGAAAUGUCAAGAGUUCAAGUAUUUAUGAUUAGUUGGCUCUAAGCACCUCUAGAUUCAGUCUUGGAUCAUGUGGCUUUUCCAUUAAAAAAAAAAAAAAAAAAAAAAAAACAUAGGUUCUGACUAGCCAUGUGUGUACACAGUUCUAGCCCCCCGCCAGGCAGUUAUGGAUGCUAGUGUACACAGUAAUGCCUCCCCGUGCCUAGCAGGCACAUGUGGUAGUUACGUCAGUCAGUCACACACUUCUCAUUUGCUCUGGCAGACAAUGAGCACUUUUAAUUUUUUUUUUCAAUAUGAUCAAACCCUGGUGCUGAAAUGCUUUCUUUGAUAAUUAUUGCAUUUUACAAUUUUAUCAAUAGUUAAUAUCUAAGUACACAAGAAUUGUCUAAGGAUAAAAACUCUUAAUCCUGUUUACUCUAAUAAAUACUUUGAAAUGCUGAAUGAGCGGUUUUAUAUUCUACCCUUAUUUCUCCAAAAGUGGGAUAAGAUUUUUUUUCAUACGUAAUGUUAAGCUGUUUGAAAACCCUAGGUAUAGCGUGCUGUAUUGUUUGAAGUGGUAACUAUUCAACAUAUAUCCUAGAAUUAAAUGAUUUAGAUUGAAAGAAGUAGUUUAGAAUUUAAAAAAAAAUAUAUUUUUUCUAUAGAUAAUAUGACUAUAAGAGCAGUCCUUUCAAAGCUAAAUAUAGGUCAUCAUGUUUCUUUGAGAAAAAAACUACACAUAGAUAAUUUGUUAUUCCGGUAUUUUAAGUCCACAGUGGCAAACAAUGACCUCAUUGUUUGGAUCUGAGCCUACCAAAACAUUAAACAUUAGAGCCAGGGUGAUUUCUCAGUGGGUAAGGUGUUUGCACUGUGAGGUGGGUGUGGCAGUCCCUGUGAUUGCAGCCUGGAGAGGUGGAGAGCAAGCCAGUACCUAGACUAGCCAGAUGGGGUGAGCGCUGGGUUCAUUGACAGACACUCCCCCGCCUCAGUAAAUAAGGAGGAAAGUGACAAACCUCUAGUCUCUAUACAUGUGCCUUUGCAUCUGCACAUGCGCACAUUCCACACAUGCGCAUGUUCCAACCUAGGGAGAUUUGAGUAAGGAUGGUCCCCGCAAGCUCAGAUGUUGACGACUUGGCCCACAGUUAUGAAACUGUGUGGGAGGGAUUAGGAAGUAUAGCCUCUUUGGAGAGGGCUUGUCACUGGGGACAGGGCUUGAGAUUUCAGAAGACUGCUGCCUUCUCUGCCCCGGUUUUUGGAUUAAGAUGUGAACUCUCAGCUGAUGCUCUCCCCCAUGCUGCCCGCCAGUUGACACUCUCCCUGCCACAGUGGUGACGGACUCCCAUCACUCUGGAACCCUCCUUCUGUAAACUGCCUUGGUCAUGUGCGUUAUCACCAAAUAAAGAAGUAACUGCCACAGAGCCUUACUGGAAGUAUGUGGCAGGAAACAUUACUUCUCAGAAGGGGAAAAAAAAUCAUGGAUAAUAUUAAGAGGAGGAUGUCUUAAAUGAAAUGAAAAUGGGUGAACAUGGAGACCAUUAUAAAUUAAUGAAGAAACUGAAAUAGAAAAGGGACAGAAAGAGAACAAGUCCACACGUAGUAGCCAUUCUGGGGCUAAGUGUCAGAGAGCUGGCCUAAGGUGGGUGGUCAUAGGUUCUAUCCCUAGCUCUGCACCAGGCGUGGGGAGGAGGGGGGUGGCUUGAGAGGUCAAGACAGCAAAGAAAAUCAGAUGGGUCCUAGCUGCUUCACAGGUUUGUUGGAGGGUUUUUUUGUUUUUUGUUUUAUUUAUUUAUUUAAUUUGUGCUGCUCCAGUCACUAAAUGAAGAAGCAGCAGCACUUAGAAGCAAUUUAUAUGGAAAGCUGAGUUUAUAGCUCAGAGAAGAACAUGUCUUGGUUUUGCUUUUUGUUUUGUUUGUUUCUGUUUUGUUUGCUUGAGGGCAGGGUGUCACUGGGUAAUCUAGUGUGGCUUGGAGCUCACUGUGUGGCCAGAGUGACCUCAGACCCAUGACACACCAUUCUGGACUCAGCAUCCCAGUGACUGGGUGACGAGUGUGAGCCAUCACACCCAGUACAGGACAAACCUUUAAAGUACUCAGUAGUUAGACCGGAUGUGACACCCCCUUCUGGCCUUCUGCAGGCACCAGGCACGAAUGUGGAGAGCAUGGAUCCGUACAGGCACUCCCAUAUGCACAAAAAAUAAAAAUAGCUUUAAUUGUUCAAGGCCUCCAAGGAGCACCGAUAGCUAAAAGCCCAGCACCUCCAUGUGACCACUCUGAAUGUCCUUUCGGUUUUGCUGUGUGCCACAGGCUGUCUGGACAUCUGUCUAAAAUGUGUAACCGGUAUCUCAUCCAGUGCCCUUUGGAAUGGAAGCUGCUUGACGUUAAAAGGACGGGGGGAAGAAGGAAAGGAAGAAAAUAAGGAAGGAAAGAAAGAAGUGUGUCUCUCAUAGCUACUAUAGAGUAACGAAAUCCUUAGAGGCUAAGGCUAGUGCAGACUACAUAGUGACUAGGUUGAGGCCAGCCUGGGCUAUCUCAGACCCACAGAGCGUAGCGUUUAGGGAUCUUUUGACAGGGCCUCGGAGACCAUGCUGCCCACUGCUGUUCUCCUGCCUGUCGGUGUUCUGAGAAGACUUUUACAGCUUUCGCCUUACUUGGCCUUGGGAAUGGCAGCUGAGAUUUAAUGCAUUUCCCUUGUUUCUCAGUGUAACCGUGCAGGUCAGGUCCAGUCUCCUGCUGAAUGUAAUAGUUCUUCCUGGGACAGACAUCUGUGGCCCCUCUAGGCGUGAGAACACACUCCUGGCGUAUGCCUCUGUGUGUUACCUAGGAGCUAUUUCCUAACCAGCCACUGUGUGUGAAGCUAAGGAUGCCAGCGAUUAAACGGGUCAUUUCCUGCUUCACAGGGUUUGCAGCCUGGUAAAAUUUUACUUGGUGCAAAUGAAGUCUCUAAACAUUCCCGUGUCCCGUUUUCUCAAAACUCUUUGGAAAGAAAAGUCAGACUAAUUGGAAGAAAGAACAAAGAGAGGUAAGCCGCCACUAAAAUUAAAAAC